RNAcentral lists this long non-coding RNA (1433 nucleotides) under Phasianus colchicus (ring-necked pheasant). RNAcentral describes it as "lncRNA (ENSPCLG00000008150.1)". Lineage: Eukaryota; Metazoa; Chordata; Aves; Galliformes; Phasianidae. The record is from RNAcentral.
GUUAUUCUCUAUGAAAGUACUCAGUGACAGAUACAUCCUUGCUGUCUUUUUUAAAGCCAGUUCAUGCUGAAGAGUGUUCUGUAUCAGUAAAAUGUAUCAGUAAUGUGAGAAGAAUGGCUGUGGAUAUACAGAGCUGGGAGAGCAGAGAUGACAUGGAAAUGGCCAUACUGUACAAGCUGAAUGAGAAUUAAGGAUAGGACAAGACCAGGAGAGGAACAAAUAGAAUAAAAUCAUCAUGUCAUAGGAUAAAUGAGAGUUGGUGAGGGAUUAUUGUAAAUGAGAAUGCUGGUUGAUGGAGAAGUCAGCACGAGCCAGUUUUAUGUGCCUGCAGCCCAGAAAGACAACUGUAACCCGGGCUACAUUAAGAGUAGAGAGACCAGGAGUGUGAUUCUCCCUUCUGCUCCAAACUCUAACUGAGCUUCCAGCUGCAUUCAGCUCUGGGGUCACCAGCACAAGAAAGAUGUGGAGCUGUUGAAAUGAGAGCAGAGGAGAGCCACAGAGAUUCUCAGUGAGUCUCAGUGUUUGUGAAACGGCCCCUGUGAAAGUCCUUGGGUGGACUCUGGCAAACAAACAGCAAAACUACUAACGCAACAGCUACCAGAAAGCACAUCUCCAUCUACCUGCGUGCCCCGUGCUGUCACCAGAGUCACAGUCACCCCGUGCCCUUACAAUAGGACAGGUGCCUAGAAAUGCCCUGGGCACACAGCCCGCCUUCAGUCCCGCUGGGGACUUUCGAGGCGUCAACGUCUUCCCGCUGGAACGCGAGACGUCGAGACCUCGCCAGCCCUACACGAGACGUCAGAGUCCCGCGAGCGGAUUGCGGGCCUGCGAGGAUCCCGCUCGAGGAACGGCAGGCGGCAGAGGUCCGGCCAGAGACACGCGGGGCGUCCGUCACCGGCGGGACGCGGCACAGAGAGGCGCCGAGGGCCGGAGGCCGCCGACCGCUCUGCCAGAGGCAGCCUCCGGCGACUCGGUCCUCCGAGCACCUCCGUGCCGGGGCAGCUGCGGCCGCGAGUCGGGAGGCGACCGGCGGAGGCCCGCGAGGAGGAGGAGCGCCCCACGUGCCUCGGCCCGCCGGACCCGCGUUGUCCCUGCAGGCCCGCCUUCCGCGGGAACCGCGAGUUGCCUUUCCAAAUACUUUGGAAGAAUAAGAACAUAAAGCUCACUGGAUAACCAGAAAAGAGGAGAGAAAGAGAUUUUUAGGUCCCGUGAGUAUGAUCUUGCUAUUAAGAUUGCAAGGACUGCAACCCUUUACAAUAGGGAGUGAAUAGGCAAUAGAGAUUGGCCUCGGUGGUGCUGUGUGUUCCACAGUAAGAAAAUGAUGGAAGACUGAAAAGAGCUACAGAGGUUAAAUCAUAUAUACAUAUAUAAAUAGGUAAAUACAACCUUAUUGGAAUAAUAAAAAGCUGUUGUUGAAAUACCUCUCUUACUGC